This is a non-coding RNA of Fusarium venenatum, 87 nucleotides long. The record is from RefSeq and is a predicted model, not a curated record. NCBI's taxonomy places the organism in Eukaryota, Fungi, Ascomycota, Sordariomycetes, Hypocreales, Nectriaceae.
GACGACAAGAGGAGGGGAGGUGGCUGAGAUUAUACGGCAAAACUUGAUCUGGAUAAUACCAGCGAAAGGAUCAUGUCCUCCUCCCUA